ACGAACGCUGGCGGCUGCUUAACACAUGCAAGUCGAACGGAGUGGCGAACGGGUGAGUAACGCGUGAGCAACCUGCCUAUGACAGUGGGAUAGCCUCGGGAAACCGGGAUUAAUACCGCAUAGUCAUAGAUGGGCUCGCGUCUGAUUAGCUAGUUGGUGAGAUAACAGCCCACCAAGGCGACGAUCAGUAGCCGGUAUGAGAGGAUGAACGGCCACAUUGGAACUGAGAACCGGUCCAAAAUCCUACGGAAGGGAGCAGUGGGGAAUAUUGCACAAGGGGGGAAACCAUGAUGCAGCGACGCCGCGUGAACGAAGAAGGUAUUCGUAUCGUAAAGUUCUGUCCUAUGGGAAGCAGUACCAGAGAAGAAAGCACCGGCUAAAUACGUGCCAGCAGCCGCGGUAAUAC
RNAcentral lists this ribosomal RNA (406 nucleotides) under uncultured bacterium. Its description in RNAcentral is "partial 16S ribosomal RNA". It matches the Rfam family "Bacterial small subunit ribosomal RNA", at positions 29 to 526 of the family's 1533-position model. The record is from RNAcentral.